This 1358-nucleotide long non-coding RNA is filed under the name Malus domestica (apple). Its description in RNAcentral is "long non-coding RNA (MDOM_LNC008072)". Lineage: Eukaryota; Viridiplantae; Streptophyta; Magnoliopsida; Rosales; Rosaceae. The record is from RNAcentral.
AAUAGAAGAAAAAUUUGAAAGGAUUUCUUUUUGGCCGCCGUCGUCCCCAAUCAUCCGCUCCCUCGUUUUCCCAGCGCCAACCUCGCCAGCCCUUUCCCCACCGUCCUCUUCAGCUCCCUAACCUCACUCAACUUUUCUUCGAAAACUCCAUCUUCCCUCAUGAGUUUAUUCAGUAUAAUGGAUUUGUGAAAUUGAAUGCAAAAAUAAUCGGGAAAAUUAGGUGACGGACGAGGGCUGAAGCUGAGGGUCUGUAGCUGCGUCGCGCUAGAGCCGUCUUCGCCGCCUGAAUCGACUCGUUCUCAGAACCCGCAUCGCUGCCACUAGGUUCGCCUGAUCAGAACCGAUGACCCGCUGCUUCCCAAGAACCGCUAGCACCACUGUUUUGCACCUGAAUCUGAUCUGCACCGUUUGCCUGACCUAACCACUGCUGCUUUAUCCUGAAUCGAGAUCUCAUGGUUUCGAACUGUUGCCGCCUUGACCACUGCACGAACCCAAAACCAGAAAGCACCAAAUCCAUUGACGUUGCCCCCACAUCGUACCAGACCCGAUUGCCUUGAACCCCUGUGGACGAUAGGGACGAAGGCUGCAAAAAAAAUCCUUAAUUUCUUCAAUUUUCAUUUUUAAGAUUUCAAUUUUGUUUUCAAUUUUUUCCAAAUUCUAUUUUAUUAUUUAAAAGUGAGUUGGCUCCACGCUGCCGCAUCAUCAUUUAAUAAUUAAAUUGAUAGAGAAAUUAACGGAAGUCCGACAUUACAAGAAAUUCAUAAAUUAAUAUAUAACAUUGCAAUGUUUAAAAGAUGAGGUAUGAAAUUAUUAUGUGAUCCAAAAUUAAAGUGGUAAAAUGUAAUUUACCUUUUAUUUUCUCAUUUUGGUACAAGGAUUUUGGGAAGAGGAAUUUAUGCUAAACCACACAAUGAGCUAUACAUUAAAUUGUCAUCAAUCCAUCCAAAAGAGUAUGAUAAGAUUGAGAGUAAAGAUGAAUACCAGUAGUCUGCAAUGAUAUAGAAGUGGCAAUUGCUAGCAACUUCUUUGGAAGAAGAUUCUAGGUAUAUGGGCGUAGACAUUGAGGCCUAAUUUUUCACAUGUGAACCGCCAACAGGAUACAAACUUAUGUAGCCCUUGCCUAAAUGCCUAUGUGCUUCAUCAUUCCAUUAUGAGCUGAUUUGGUAUUGCUAUGCUUUGAAAAAAAACUGUUUCUGCUGUAAUAUAAGAAUAAGCUCAUUUUUGCUGCUUCACGUUUUCAAUUUUUUUUCACCCAAAACUGUAAAAAUAAGCAAUUUUUAAAUAUUUACCAUACACAUUUUUAAGCUCAACUUUUUUCAAUACCCACUUUUUAUAAAAGCAUCUCAAUACCAAUACCA